Molecule: ribosomal RNA, 212 nt
Filed under: uncultured bacterium
Lineage: Bacteria
Description: partial 16S ribosomal RNA
Rfam family: Bacterial small subunit ribosomal RNA
Source: RNAcentral
ACUCCUACGGGAGGCAGCAGUGGGGAAUAUUGCACAAUGGGCGAAGCCUGAUGCAGCCAUGCCGCUGUGAUGAAGAAGGCCUUCGGGUUGUAAAGUACUUUCAGCAGUGAGGAAGGUGGGUAUGUUAAUAGCAUACUCAUUUGACGUUAGCUGCAGAAGAAGCACCGGCUAACUCCGUGCCAGCAGCCGCGGUAAUACGGAGGGUGCGAAGC